GAAGGAAUUGCUGAUCUCCUUGUUAGGAAGUUGAGAGGUUGGGUUGCGAGAUUCAGUGUUUGCAAUGGUGGUUGGUGGUAUGGCAUCCUUAAGUUUCUGCCAUCUCUGGUAGUGGUAGCCAGAGGUGUCAGCAGAACCAAGCUUGUGUUUCUUGUGCAUGUGUGCUUAAAGUUUGUCGUUCAGGUUGGUGAGGUAUUGUAUCGGGAAAGCGU
This 212-nucleotide long non-coding RNA is filed under the name Dunaliella salina. RNAcentral describes it as "long non-coding RNA (DSAL_LNC000053)". Lineage: Eukaryota; Viridiplantae; Chlorophyta; Chlorophyceae; Chlamydomonadales; Dunaliellaceae. The record is from RNAcentral.